Molecule: ribosomal RNA, 556 nt
Filed under: uncultured fungus
Lineage: Eukaryota; Fungi
Description: eukaryotic LSU rRNA
Rfam family: 5.8S ribosomal RNA (bases 203-355)
Source: RNAcentral
AAGGAUCAUUACCGAGUCCGGGUGUCUCUCGACGCUCGACCUCCAACCCUUUGUCUACCUGACCUUAUGUUGCUUCGGCGGACCCGCCCCUUAAACCGGGCCGCCGGGGGUGUCUAUACCCCUGGCCCGCGUCCGUCGACAGCCCUUAUUCAAAUUCUUGUUAAUAAACGUGUCGUCUGAAUAAAAAACAAAAAUUAAUUAAAACUUUCAACAACGGAUCUCUUGGUUCUGGCAUCGAUGAAGAACGCAGCGAAAUGCGAUAAGUAAUGCGAAUUGCAGAAUCCGUGAGUCAUCGAAUCUUUGAACGCACAUUGCGCCCUCGAGUAUUCUUGAGGGCAUGCCUGUUCGAGCGUCAUUAUCACCCCUCAAGCCUGGCUUGCUGUUGGAACCUGCCCCUCACCCGGGCUGUUCCCAAAGAUAAUGACAGCGUCUGCGAGGACUCCAGUACACUGAGCUUUCGGGCACGUACUCGGUCAAAGGACUCCAGGCCCGGUCUAACUUAUUUUAUUAUACCAAGGUUGACCUCGGAUCAGGUAGGAAUACCCGCUGAACUUAA